GCCCAGGUGGCGGAAUUGGCAGACGCGCAGGCUUCAGGAGCCUGUGAGCCUAGCUCGUGUGGGUUCAAAUCCCUCCCUGGGUACCA
This 86-nucleotide transfer RNA is filed under the name Candidatus Acetothermia bacterium. Its description in RNAcentral is "tRNA-Leu". It matches the Rfam family "tRNA". Rfam says of the family: Transfer RNA (tRNA) molecules are approximately 80 nucleotides in length. Their secondary structure includes four short double-helical elements and three loops (D, anti-codon, and T loops). Lineage: Bacteria; Candidatus Bipolaricaulota. The record is from RNAcentral.